This 495-nucleotide long non-coding RNA is filed under the name Triticum aestivum (bread wheat). RNAcentral's name for it is "long non-coding RNA (TAES_LNC011081)". The record is from RNAcentral. Lineage: Eukaryota; Viridiplantae; Streptophyta; Magnoliopsida; Poales; Poaceae.
AACAACAAUAUAUUACAAGUUGACAACAAUAACAAACCGAGCCUGAGUUUGAAGUCCACACAUGCAUACAUAUGCAACAAGAAUUCACAAACGAAAAAACCAUGAGUUUAAAGUUCAGACAUGCAUACAUAUCCAACGAAGGUUCAAAACAACAUGCGUCCGUAUGCAACAAGAAUUCACAAACGACAGCAUGAGUUCCAAGUUCACACCAAGCAUGAACCUAAAAGAUGCAAUGAGCUUCCACCGCAGCAUGUAUGCCCACCGUCGACGGCAUCUGCAAUGUAAACCUACAAAUCCAUUACCACACGCAUGAGUUUCCAAAGUUAAGUUGCAAAAAGGCACAAGAGUCAACAAGCAUCAACAUAUAAGAACUAACACACAUACUAGAAGAUUCACAACAAGUUCUAUCUUGAAGCCCUCAAUCUAGCAGACAAAAAUAUACAAUGCAUAGAUUUCACAUGUUUCCCAGAGCUUGAGGUCAUUUAAUAUAGAACU